GGGCGACGGUAACCACCUCAUUAUCAGGU
This 29-nucleotide small RNA is filed under the name Bombyx mori (domestic silkworm). RNAcentral describes it as "ovarian small RNA-17509". Lineage: Eukaryota; Metazoa; Arthropoda; Insecta; Lepidoptera; Bombycidae. The record is from RNAcentral.